UAGAAUAUUAUUACCAUGAUCCCCAGAUGUGCAGGUCAGACAGAACUACCUGAAAACCUCAUAGCUCUGUUCAGACAGAACCUGUGGCAUGGCUGUCCCUGACAUUGAACUGAUCUCUGAAAUUACGUUGGUUGCUGAAGGGUUUAUUGAUGCGUGUCUGUUAGCUAGGAAGUUUAUCACCUUGUAACUACUCUACUGGGAGCUGCUCCCUGAACAGGCCUAAUCAGUGACCUGUUUCCAGCUCUGGAUGUUACUAGGAAGAGGAACCUACAGUUUGAACAGAUGGGUAAACAAUCUACCCUGAAGCUUCAUUUGAAGCCUGAAGAGAGCUUUAUUCUCAAAGCUGUUCAACUGGAGGAGCUGCUGGCAGUGCAUCACUCUGUGCUUGACGUUGGAAAUGCAGGAAUUGGAAAGAGUAAGGUACCUGCCUACCUAUGCAGCGUGUUUUCU
This 450-nucleotide long non-coding RNA is filed under the name Manacus vitellinus (golden-collared manakin). Its description in RNAcentral is "lncRNA (ENSMVIG00005000409.1)". Lineage: Eukaryota; Metazoa; Chordata; Aves; Passeriformes; Pipridae. The record is from RNAcentral.